UGCUAAAGGUCUUGAUGGAGCAUGACUA
This 28-nucleotide non-coding RNA is filed under the name Mus musculus (house mouse). The record is from RNAcentral. Lineage: Eukaryota; Metazoa; Chordata; Mammalia; Rodentia; Muridae.